This is a long non-coding RNA of Cyclopterus lumpus (lumpfish), 176 nucleotides long. RefSeq lists it as uncharacterized. The transcript is spliced from 3 exons. The record is from RefSeq and is a predicted model, not a curated record. NCBI's taxonomy places the organism in Eukaryota, Metazoa, Chordata, Actinopteri, Perciformes, Cyclopteridae.
GACCAUAUGACGUUGCACCUGGACGCUCUCUGGGGUUUCUGAUGUCCGCCAUUACCUCGCUUCGCCUGAACUUCUGAUGGUCAAGUCAACUCAUUUAAAGAAGGUUUGCUGCUGUUUCCUGUAGCGGUAUGACAUUGUAGCCAUAUUGCUGAAUUUGAUCCUUUUGGAUGGGCUGA